AACGAACGCUGGCGGCAGGCCUAACACAUGCAAGUCCAGCGAGGACUUCGGUCCUAGCGGCGGACGGGUGAGUAACGCGUGGGAACGUGCCCUUUGCUUCGGAAUAGCCCUGGGAAACUGGGAGUAAUACCGGAUGAGCCCUUUGGGGGAAAGAUUUAUCGGCGAAGGAUCGGCCCGCGUUGGAUUAGGUAGUUGGUGGGGUAAUGGCCUACCAAGCCGACGAUCCAUAGCUGGUUUGAGAGGAUGAUCAGCCACACUGGGACUGAGACACGGCCCAGACUCCUACGGGAGGCAGCAGUGGGGAAUCUUAGACAAUGGGGGAAACCCUGAUCUAGCCAUGCCGCGUGAGCGAUGAAGGCCUUAGGGUUGUAAAGCUCUUUCAGCUGGGAAGAUAAUGACGGUACCAGCAGAAGAAGCCCCGGCUAACUCCGUG
This 433-nucleotide ribosomal RNA is filed under the name uncultured bacterium. RNAcentral describes it as "partial 16S ribosomal RNA". It matches the Rfam family "Bacterial small subunit ribosomal RNA", at positions 29 to 507 of the family's 1533-position model. The record is from RNAcentral.